Molecule: ribosomal RNA, 110 nt
Filed under: uncultured Phascolarctobacterium sp.
Lineage: Bacteria; Bacillati; Bacillota; Negativicutes; Acidaminococcales; Acidaminococcaceae
Source: RNAcentral
CGGUGGUGAUGGCUAAGGGGAUCCACCUGUUCCCAUCCCGAACACAGUAGUUAAGCCCUUAAACGCCGAAAGUACUUGGGGGGCAGCCCCCUGGGAGGAUAGGAAAUCGC